This 253-nucleotide ribosomal RNA is filed under the name uncultured bacterium. RNAcentral describes it as "partial 16S ribosomal RNA". It matches the Rfam family "Bacterial small subunit ribosomal RNA", at positions 524 to 776 of the family's 1533-position model. The record is from RNAcentral.
UACGGGGGGGGCAAGCGUUGUUCGGAAUUACUGGGCGUAAAGGGCUCGUAGGCGGCCAACUAAGUCAGACGUGAAAUCCCUCGGCUUAACCGGGGAACUGCGUCUGAUACUGGAUGGCUUGAGGUUGGGAGAGGGAUGCGGAAUUCCAGGUGUAGCGGUGAAAUGCGUAGAUAUCGGGAGGAACACCGGUGGCGAAGGCGGCUCUCUGGGACGGUACUGACGCUGAGACGCGAAAGCGUGGGGAGCGAACAGG